CCUACGGGUGGCAGCAGUGGGGAAUAUUGGGCAAUGGAGGCAACUCUGACCCAGCAAUGCCGCGUGAGUGAUGAAGGUAAUUUUAUUGUAAAGCUCUUUUCUUGGAACGAAUAAAUGACGUACCCAAAGGAAUAAGCCCCGGCUAACUACGUGCCAACAGCCGAGGUAAUACGUAGGGGGCAAGCCUUGUUCGGAAUGACUGGGGGUAAAGGGUUUGUAGGGGGUCUGAUAAGUUGGAUGUGUAAUACCCAGGGCUUAACUCGGGUGCUGCAUCGAAAACUGUUAGACUUGUGUACUGGAGAGGAAAGUGGAAUUCCUAGUGUAGCGGUGGAAUGCGUAGAUAUUAGGAGGAACAUCAGUGGCGAAGGCGACUAUCUGGACAGCAACUGACGCUGAGGCACGAAAGCGUGGGGAGCAAACAGGAUUAGAUACCCCAGUAGUC
Molecule: ribosomal RNA, 442 nt
Filed under: uncultured bacterium
Lineage: Bacteria
Description: partial 16S ribosomal RNA
Rfam family: Bacterial small subunit ribosomal RNA
Source: RNAcentral